RNAcentral lists this ribosomal RNA (227 nucleotides) under uncultured bacterium. Its description in RNAcentral is "partial 16S ribosomal RNA". It matches the Rfam family "Bacterial small subunit ribosomal RNA", at positions 262 to 504 of the family's 1533-position model. The record is from RNAcentral.
GGCUUACCAAGGCGACGAUCAGUAGCCGACCUGAGAGGUUGAACGGCCACAUUGGGACUGAGAUACGGCCCAGACUCCUACGGGAGGCAGCAGUCGGGAAUAUUGCGCAAUGGAGGAAACUCUGACGCAGUGACGCCGCGUGCAGGAAGAAGGUUUUCGGAUUGUAAACUGCUUUAGACAGGGAAGAAGAAGUGACAGUACCUGUAGAAUAAGCUCCGGCUAACUAC